UCCGGCUCACAUAACAUCUGCUUCGCUACAAAAGUUGCAGAAAACAAGAUUUCUAAUAACUCGCCAAAAACCCGAUAACUUUUCAAUUGCACGAAAACAGACUGACUCCGUCCGUAGCCGCCAUGGGUGAUAAGACGACUCUGGGGUCAACCUUGGAGCCCUCGAACCAGGAAACGAUUGAGAACGGUCCAGCUUCGACGGGACACCUGUUUCUGGUGGUGAACGAAAUGACCAGGCGCGGCGGAAGAUGAUUUUGGCCGGGGGGACAAUCCUAAAAAUUCUCCAAGCCGCUCGCGCCUACGGCGCUCGCGAAACUACCCCACUGCAAAGUGCAAAAAGGCUAUCUUUUCUUAUUUUUCAUGCAUUUUUGCUAUUUUCAUGCCUUUUUGCUGGUGGAAUAUCUUA
Molecule: long non-coding RNA, 405 nt
Organism: Folsomia candida
Lineage: Eukaryota; Metazoa; Arthropoda; Collembola; Entomobryomorpha; Isotomidae
Exons: 4
Source: RefSeq, a predicted model, not a curated record